GCCCCCGGCGGAAAUGGCCGAGCGCGUUCGGGCCAGGCGCGUGAAGCGAGGCGGGGGCGGAGCCUCGGGAUGGCCGAGCAUUUCCGGAAAGAGCCGAACAUCCUCCCGCGGGACUGGCGGGCAGAGGGUGCCACGAGAUAGCCGAGCAUUUCCGGAAACAGCCGAGCGCAAUCGCGUCAGCUAAGCGUUUCCCUAAGCUCGGCGGGGCCCGGCUGGGCUUCGAGAUGACCGAGUGAUUCCGGAAAUCGCCGAGCGUCUCCCCCCAGCGGGACUGAUGGAACCGAGGCUGAGCCCCGAGACUGCAGUUUCUGCAAAGAACCGCGUGUGCUCGGACCCAGAGGGAGGCCCUGUGAAUCGAGAGCCAGGGAUGGACCACCAGUUUCCGGAACUGAUGGAUGGGUCCUAAGGGCGCGAGGCGGCCCGAGCUCAGGGCGCAGGAGGCGGUGGGGUGGGAAGGGAGCUCGCCGCAGAAAUCUGAGCUUUUCAGGAAAGAUCCAAAUAAGCUGGGAUUGAAAGCGUUUCCAUGGCAGCCCAGAGCGUCCGGAAACAGCUGAACUAUUUGCAGCGCAGCGAGCGCGGGAACACGCCCAACGAGGACCCAGAGACGGACGAUUGUUUCCGGAAUAGCCGAAGACACUCGGAAGCGUGGCCCGGGGCUUCUGGUACUGCCCAGAAGUAACCCCAAAACACGGAGUUGGGCUCGGGGCCCCAGAUCGGUGUCCGGAUGAAGCUUUUAAGAGCAGAGCCUAUGAUGGGUACUCGGGGAGAGGGCAGGAGGAGGCCAGGGACCCGAGAAGACAUCAGGGAGAAUCUCAUUGGCGAACUCCUGCGCCACCUUCAAAACCCCUUCAAAGGAAGUCAGUUUUCACCCCGUCCCCACCACACUCUCUCCCCUUACCCCUUUCUUUGCCCCUCACAAAUCCAGACGUUGGGCCUCCUCUUUGUAAACGUGGGCUUUUAUUCACGGUCAGCUCCAGGAUGGAAGGGGGGUGGGGGGCACAAGUCAUGCACAGCCUUGGUCUAGCUCCAGCACCAGCCAGUGCUGGGCGAGGGUCUCUGGGAGGGAUGCAGAGUGGGCUACCGUGCCUGGAAAGUGCCCUCAUCAGGUGGGGCGCAGGGAUCUGGCCGGCCACCUCCACAGAGGAAGUGGCGGUUCUGAGACGCCCAGUGUGUGUCACACAGCAGCCUGGGGAAGAGAGCUGGAGGUGGAUCUGCUGUAUCCGACACCAGACUCUCCGUUCAAGCUCCCUUGUCGACAGUGCCCACGACGGGGCCUGGCUGCGUUUUUUUUUUACCAGGUGAUCGUGCGACACGUCUCCACCCCUCGCCAGGCCUCGGUUACUUGUCCGUAAAAUGGGGAGGACACCGCCACCUGCAGCCUUCUCAAGGCUGGCUGGGGGAGAAGCCACGAGUAAAAGCGUCUGGCAUAGGGCGGAUGCUUAAUAAAUAGUCAUUGGGAUUAGUUUUGUAAACACGAGGAAACUGAGGCACAGAGUGGGAAAGCCAUUUUCCCAGAGCCACACGAGGAAGCCAAGAUUCAAACUUGGGCCCCAUUGCCCCCCAGCUGGGUUUCUCACUCGAAUUUCAUUCUAGGAAGGCUGCGAUACGUUGCGGGAACCCUCCGUAGGGUGUUUCAGACACAUCAUGGUCAAGGGCUCACCCUGGUGGGCACUGAGCACGUGAAAUCUUGUCCAGGCUGGACGUUCUUCCCCUGCCCUGGCAGUAGUACCCUUCGAGGCCUGCGCCUCCCCCCCCGCCCAGGGCAUCAGUGUCCCCCUGUGGAGUGGGUGACCUCUCUGCUCCUCCAUCAAGGUCCCAGGUCCCACACCCCCUCCCCCGGGCUGAAGCCUUCAGGACUAGAAACAAACUCUAGCGAGACUGGCCUAGGGAUAGAGGCUAUGACAGUGAGACGUAGCUUUCAGCGUCCAGUCCCUCAUCGGGAUUGCUUUGUUUUGUGGUGGAGGGGAAUCAUUUACAGACUCUCCAAGUCCUAUCCGCAUUGGGCCCAGACAGGUAAGCUUGCCUGUAUCCCCUCAGGUCAGUGGGUCCUGGGCCAGGAUGGGAUCAAGGAACACGCACACACAAAACUAAAACA
This is a long non-coding RNA of Lynx canadensis (Canada lynx), 2095 nucleotides long. RefSeq lists it as uncharacterized. The transcript is spliced from 2 exons. NCBI's taxonomy places the organism in Eukaryota, Metazoa, Chordata, Mammalia, Carnivora, Felidae. The record is from RefSeq and is a predicted model, not a curated record.